This 476-nucleotide ribosomal RNA is filed under the name uncultured bacterium. RNAcentral describes it as "bacterial SSU rRNA". It matches the Rfam family "Bacterial small subunit ribosomal RNA", at positions 440 to 916 of the family's 1533-position model. The record is from RNAcentral.
CUGGGACGAAACCCCCGAUUUCCAUCGGGCCUGACGGUACCAGAGGAAUAAGCACCGGCUAACUCCGUGCCAGCAGCCGCGGUAAUACGGAGGGUGCAAGCGUUAUCCGGAUUCACUGGGUUUAAAGGGUGCGUAGGCGGGUUUGUAAGUCAGUGGUGAAAUCCCCGAGCUUAACUUGGGAACUGCCAUUGAUACUGCAAGUCUUGAAUUUUCUGGAGGUAAGCGGAAUAUGUCAUGUAGCGGUGAAAUGCUUAGAUAUGACAUAGAACACCCAUUGCGAAGGCAGCUUACUACGGGAAUAUUGACGCUGAGGCACGAAAGCGUGGGGAUCAAACAGGAUUAGAUACCCUGGUAGUCCACGCCCUAAACGAUGAUUACUCGACAUUAGCGAUAUUACAGUUAGUGUCUAAGCGAAAGCAUUAAGUAAUCCACCUGGGAAGUACGACCGCAAGGUUGAAACUCAAAGGAAUUGACGG